AAAUAAAUGGUGAUACAAGCAUGAUCAUGGAAGUGAUAAUAUCUAAUUAAUCGACUAAACAUAUUGAAUCAACUAAACAAAUAAUCAAACAAAUUCACUUAGCAAUUAAAAACAAUUAAUUAAUUAUAUUCUAAUUAACUAAUCAAUUAGACAAAUAAAAAAUUAAUUAAAUAUUAAUUUAAAUAAUUAAACUAAUAAAAAAUAAUAUUAAAAAAAACAAAAAAAAAUACAAGAGGGAUACAUGUAGUAAAUGCGAUGUAUUAAAUGUAGGUAAUAGGUUUAACCAAAGAAAUAACUCAUCCCACCAUCAACAAAUACUAACCUUAUUUUAAAUAAUAAAAAGUACAUAUAAUAAAUUAAUAAAAAAUAAAAUUAAAAUAAAAAUUCACAUGUGGGGAACCGCCCCUUCUAUUUUUAUGAGAAUUAAAUUGAUUAAUUGUAAAAACAAAAAAAACAAAAAUUUGAAAAAGUCAAACUUAAAAUUUUAAUCUACAAUUUCUAAACAUGAAAUAUUGUCACACACUCCUUUUCUCUAUUUUUUUUUUAAAUCUAACACCCAAUAUUAUGGAAAAACAUGACAGAUCAAUUAAAUAAAAAAAGAAAUAGAAUAAAAAAGACCAAAAAAGUAAAAAUAAAAUAAAUGAAAAUAAAAACCCAAAAAGCAUAUCUCUUUUCUCUCCAUCGUGUUCUCUCUCGGUAUCUUCUCAUCUCAAAAUCACUUCCUUUUCAUCCAACUCCAAUUUCAUAAGAAAGAAAGACAAUAUUCUUAAUCACUCAAAUGCAAAUAUCAACUUAAAUAUUAGAUAAAAUAGAAAAACAAUCAAACACCUCCUUAGAUGCAAAACAACUAAGAACAAAGAAAACAAAGUGGUAUAUACCGAAAAUGGAAAACGAUGGUGGUAUGUUGUGGUGACGGUCUGAUUCACCGUGACAUUGUAGGGGCUGCUCCGGUGGUUGUGAUGUGCGCAGCAUCGAGAGUAUGGUCAGCGGAAUCGUGGGUGUUCGUGCGGCAUAUCUUCUUCAUCUUUAUUUCUUUUUUAUGCUUUGAUGGUUGUGGGUGUUGUUAAUGAUUGUGGUUAGGGGUGGCAAUUGGAUCCAUUAAGAGAAAAUUCAUCCAAUCCAUCCAUCAAAA
RNAcentral lists this long non-coding RNA (1132 nucleotides) under Lathyrus oleraceus (garden pea). RNAcentral's name for it is "Pisum sativum (pea) long non-coding RNA (PSAT_LNC030122)". The record is from RNAcentral. Lineage: Eukaryota; Viridiplantae; Streptophyta; Magnoliopsida; Fabales; Fabaceae.